RNAcentral lists this ribosomal RNA (389 nucleotides) under uncultured soil bacterium. RNAcentral's name for it is "bacterial SSU rRNA". It matches the Rfam family "Bacterial small subunit ribosomal RNA", at positions 95 to 519 of the family's 1533-position model. The record is from RNAcentral.
GUGGCGCACGGGUGCGUAACGCGUGGGAAUCUGCCCUUGGGUUCGGAAUAACAGUUAGAAAUGACUGCUAAUACCGAAUGAUGUCGCAAGACCAAAGAUUUAUCGCCCAGGGAUGAGCCCGCGUAGGAUUAGCUAGUUGGUGUGGUAAAGGCGCACCAAGGCGACGAUCCUUAGCUGGUCUGAGAGGAUGAUCAGCCACACUGGGACUGAGACACGGCCCAGACUCCUACGGGAGGCAGCAGUGGGGAAUAUUGGACAAUGGGCGAAAGCCUGAUCCAGCAAUGCCGCGUGAGUGAUGAAGGCCUUAGGGUUGUAAAGCUCUUUUACCCGGGAUGAUAAUGACAGUACCGGGAGAAUAAGCUCCGGCUAACUCCGUGCCAGCAGCCGCG